CCUGGAAUAGUUCAGUUGGUAGAGCAUGAGACACUUAAUCUCAGGGUGGUGGGUUUGAAUUGGGCAAAAAGAUUCCUGCAUUGCAGGG
Molecule: non-coding RNA, 88 nt
Organism: Podarcis lilfordi (Lilford's wall lizard)
Lineage: Eukaryota; Metazoa; Chordata; Lepidosauria; Squamata; Lacertidae
Source: the annotation of a GenBank genome assembly